This 378-nucleotide ribosomal RNA is filed under the name uncultured bacterium. RNAcentral describes it as "bacterial SSU rRNA". It matches the Rfam family "Bacterial small subunit ribosomal RNA", at positions 523 to 898 of the family's 1533-position model. The record is from RNAcentral.
AUACGUAGGGCGCGAGCGUUAUCCGGAAUUAUUGGGCGUAAAGAGCUCGUAGGCGGUUUGUCACGUCUGCUGUGAAAGCCCGGGGCUCAACCCCGGGUGUGCAGUGGGUACGGGCAGACUAGAGUGCAGUAGGGGAGACUGGAAUUCCUGGUGUAGCGGUGAAAUGCGCAGAUAUCAGGAGGAACACCGAUGGCGAAGGCAGGUCUCUGGGCUGUUACUGACGCUGAGGAGCGAAAGCAUGGGGAGCGAACAGGAUUAGAUACCCUGGUAGUCCAUGCCGUAAACGUUGGGCACUAGGUGUGGGGGACAUUCCACGUUUUCCGCGCCGUAGCUAACGCAUUAAGUGCCCCGCCUGGGGAGUACGGCCGCAAGGCUAAA